RNAcentral lists this ribosomal RNA (236 nucleotides) under uncultured bacterium. RNAcentral's name for it is "partial 16S ribosomal RNA". It matches the Rfam family "Bacterial small subunit ribosomal RNA", at positions 100 to 334 of the family's 1533-position model. The record is from RNAcentral.
CGGAACGGGUGAGUAACACGUGGGCAACCUUUCCUAUCGCGGGGAGUAACACCGGGAAACCGAUGCUAAUACCGCAUGUCGUCACCGGUCGCAUGGCUGGUGAAGAAAGCAGCAAUGCACGAUGGGGUGGGCCCGCGGCCUAUCAGCUAGUCGGUGGGGUAACGGCCUACCGAGGCGAUGACGGGUAGCUGGUCUGAGAGGACGGCCAGCCACACGGGGACUGAGACACGGCCCCG